GCUUAGGGCCAUACCACCCUGAAAAAGGCCCAUCUCAGAAGCUAAAGAGUUUUGGGCCUGGUUAGUAUUUGGAUGGGAUUCUGCCUAGAAAUGCCAGGUGCUUUAAGUG
RNAcentral lists this ribosomal RNA (109 nucleotides) under Monopterus albus (swamp eel). The record is from RNAcentral. Lineage: Eukaryota; Metazoa; Chordata; Actinopteri; Synbranchiformes; Synbranchidae.